Molecule: ribosomal RNA, 488 nt
Filed under: Aquitalea magnusonii
Lineage: Bacteria; Pseudomonadati; Pseudomonadota; Betaproteobacteria; Neisseriales; Chromobacteriaceae
Description: bacterial SSU rRNA
Rfam family: Bacterial small subunit ribosomal RNA
Source: RNAcentral
GCAUACGCUUUCGAGAAGGAAAGCAGGGGAUCUUAGGACCUUGCGCUAUUCGAGCGGCCGACGUCUGAUUAGCUAGUUGGUGAGGUAAAGGCUCACCAAGGCAUCGAUCAGUAGCGGGUCUGAGAGGAUGAUCCGCCACACUGGGACUGAGACACGGCCCAGACUCCUACGGGAGGCAGCAGUGGGGAAUUUUGGACAAUGGGCGCAAGCCUGAUCCAGCCAUGCCGCGUGUCUGAAGAAGGCCUUCGGGUUGUAAAGGACUUUUGUCAGGGAGGAAAUCCCUAGCGCUAAUAUCGCUGGGGGAUGACAGUACCUGAAGAAUAAGCACCGGCUAACUACGUGCCAGCAGCCGCGGUAAUACGUAGGGUGCAAGCGUUAAUCGGAAUUACUGGGCGUAAAGCGUGCGCAGGCGGUUGUGUAAGUCUGAUGUGAAAGCCCCGGGCUUAACCUGGGAACUGCAUUGGAGACUGCACAGCUAGAGUGCGUCA